GAUGAACGCUGGCGGCGUGCCUAAUACAUGCAAGUCGAGCGAACAGACGAGGAGCUUGCCCGUCUGACGUUAGCGGCGGACGGGUGAGUAACACGUGGAUAACCUACCUAUAAGACUGGGAUCCCUUCGGGAGCCCGGAGACCAUACCGGAUAAUAUAUUGAACCGCAUGGUUCAAUAGUGAACGCGGGUUUUGCUGACACUUAGAGAUGGAUCCGCGCCGCAUUAGCUAGUUGGUAAGGUAACGGCUUACCAAGGCAACGAUGCGUAGCCGACCUGAGAGGGUGAUCGGCCACACUGGAACUGAGACACGGUCCAGACUCCUACGGGAGGCAGCAGUGGGGAAUCUUCCACAAUGGGCGAAAGCCUGACGGAGCCACGCCGCGUGUGUGAUGAAGGUCUUCGGAUCGUAAAGCUCUGUUAUUAGGGAAGAACAACUGUGUAAGUAUCUCUGCCCGUCUUGACGGUACCUAAUCAGAAAGCCCCGGCUAACUACGUG
RNAcentral lists this ribosomal RNA (497 nucleotides) under uncultured bacterium. Its description in RNAcentral is "partial 16S ribosomal RNA". It matches the Rfam family "Bacterial small subunit ribosomal RNA", at positions 28 to 507 of the family's 1533-position model. The record is from RNAcentral.